AGUAGGAAUAAAGAAAAAAGGUUAAUGAACUAUUUCUCUCUUUUAAUUAUUUGUACUUUGAUCAACAUCUUUGAUGCACCACAAAUGCAAUUAGUUUCCACAUUUCCCUUGCAUGGCUUCUUCAUUGUGGAAUGUGGAUUCAUGUGUGUGUUUGGGCCUUCAUAAAGUUGCUUUUAUGUCUAACAAACUCAUCCAUCAGUCAAUUAAAAAUUAUCAGUGUAAUGUGAGGUUAGCAAGCCUUAAUAUUUGUUUAAUUCACGUUCAAUUGAUGCUAUGCAUUUAUUUAAUUGAAAAAUUAUCAUUGCCAACUAUUGCAGGUUUACUUCAGAUGUGGGACA
Molecule: unclassified non-coding RNA, 338 nt
Filed under: Hevea brasiliensis (rubber tree)
Lineage: Eukaryota; Viridiplantae; Streptophyta; Magnoliopsida; Malpighiales; Euphorbiaceae
Source: RNAcentral